CCUAGUAACGGCGAGUGAAGCGGCAACAGCUCAAAUUUGAAAUCUGGCCUCACGGUCCGAAUUGUAAUUUGUAGAGGAUGUUUCUGGCGACGUGUCUUCCGAGUUCCCUGGAACGGGACGCCAUAGAGGGUGAGAGCCCCGUCCGGUCGUACACCUAGCCUCUGUGAAACUCCUUCGACGAGUCGAGUAGUUUGGGAAUGCUGCUCUAAAUGGGAGGUAUACGUCUUCUAAAGCUAAAUACCGGCCAGAGACCGAUAGCGCACAAGUAGAGUGAUCGAAAGAUGAAAAGCACUUUGAAAAGAGGGUUAAAUAGUACGUGAAAUUGCUGAAAGGGAAGCGCUUAUGACCAGACUUGGGCUCGGUGAAUCAUCCGGCGUUCUCGCCGGUGCACUUUGCCGUCCCAGGCCAGCAUCAGUUCGCGCCGGGGGAUAAAGGUUUCGGGAAUGUAGCUCCCUCGGGAGUGUUAUAGCCCGUUGCGUAAUACCCUGGCGUGGACUGAGGUCCGCGCUCUGCAAGGAUGCUGGCGUAAUGGUCAUCAGUGACCCGUCUUGAAACACGGACCAAGGAGUCGUCUUCGUAUGCGAGUGUUCGGGUGUCAAACCCCUACGCGUAAUGAAAGUGAACGUAGGAGAGAGCUUCGGCGCAUCUCCGACCGAUCCUGAUGUUCUCGGAUGGAUUUGAGUAAGAGCAUACGGGGCCGGACCCGAAAGAAGGUGAACUAUGCCUGUAUAGGGUGAAGCCAGAGGAAACUCUGGUGGAGGCUCGCAGCGGUUCUGACGUGCAAAUCGAUCGUCAAAUAUGGGCAUGGGGGCGAAAGACUAAUCGAACCUUCUAGUAGCUGGUUUCCGCCGAAGUUUCCCUCAGGAUAGCAGUGUUGAACUCAGUUUUAUGAGGUAAAGCGAAUGAUUAGGGACCCGGGGGCGCUUUUUAGCCUUCAUCCAUUCUCAAACUUUAAAUAUGUAAGAAGCCCUUGUUGCUUAGUUGAACGUGGGCAUUCGAAUGUAUCAACACUAGUGGGCCAUUUUUGGUAAGCAGAACUGGCGAUGCGGGAUGAACCGAACGCGAGGUUAAGGUGCCAGAGUAGACGCUCAUCAGACACCACAAAAGGUGUUAGUACAUUUUGACAUUUGGACGGUGGCCAUGGAAGUCGGAAUCCGCUAAGGACUGUGUAACAACUCACCAAACGAAUGUACUAGCCCUGAAAAUGGAUGGCGCUCAAGCGUCUCACCCAUACCUCGCCCUCAGGGUAGAAACGAUGCCCUGAGGAGUAGGCGGACGUGGAGGUCAGUGACGAAGCCUAGGGCGUGAGCCCGGGUUGAACGGCCUCUAGUGCAGAUCUUGGUGGUAGUAGCAAAUACUUCAAUGAGAACUUGAAGGACCGAAGUGGGGAAAGGUUCCAUGUGAACAGCGGUUGGACAUGGGUUAGUCGAUCCUAAGCCAUAGGGAAGUUCCGUUUCAAAGGCGCACUUGUGCGCCGUCUGGCGAAAGGGAAGCCGGUCAAUAUUCCGGCACCUGGAUGUGGGUUUUGCGCGGCAACGCAACUGAACGCGGAGACGACGGCGGGUGCCCCAGGCAGAGUUCUCUUUUCUUCUUAACGGUCUCUCACCCUGAAAUCGGUUUGUCCGGAGCUAGGGUUUAAUGGCCGGAAGAGCCCAGCACUUCUGCUGGGUCUGGUGCGCACUCGACGUCCCUUGAAAAUCCGCGGGAGGGAAUAAUUCUCACGCCAGGUCGUACUCAUAACCGCAGCAGGUCUCCAAGGUGAACAGCCUCUGGUUGAUAGAACAAUGUAGAUAAGGGAAGUCGGCAAAAUAGAUCCGUAACUUCGGGAUAAGGAUUGGCUCUAAGGGUUGGGUGCGUUGGGCCUUGGAAGUACGCCUCGGGAGCAGGCUGCCACUAGCCGGGCAACCGGCCGGCGGCGGCCAGCAUCCGGCGCUGAUGUCCUUGGCAGGCUUCGGCCGUCCGGCGCACGUUUAACAACCAACUUAGAACUGGUACGGACAGGGGGAAUCUGACUGUCUAAUUAAAACAUAGCAU
Molecule: ribosomal RNA, 2034 nt
Filed under: Acremonium sclerotigenum
Lineage: Eukaryota; Fungi; Ascomycota; Sordariomycetes; Hypocreales; Bionectriaceae
Description: eukaryotic LSU rRNA
Rfam family: Eukaryotic large subunit ribosomal RNA
Source: RNAcentral